AACCGGCAUUUUAUACAUAACUUUCCUGUUUCUAGAAAGUAGACCUCAGAUAUUAUUAAAUAGUCUGAAAUUUUAGUAAUUUAUAAUUAUAGGGAUAAUAUAAAAUUUUACGUUACCAUUUCGUUCAGUAUUCAAAAAACACUACUGUCUAAAAUAUUCAUUAAGUUAUUUAAAAUCACCCGGUAGUAUGGAAUGCUUAAUUGGCAUAUCAUUAAAAUAUUCGUAUUUAUUGGUUGUGCAUCUAUCUUAUCAAUAUUUUUGAUAAUUUACGACUUUAUAUUUUCUGAGGACUUCCCUUGGAGUUGUUUUAAACAUUCUCCUUGCUAUUUUGGAUUACUUAUACCUGCAUCUAGUAUUGUAGCAUUUGUUUGUACCUUCUUUAAUUGGUUAGGAUUAAAGUUUUUUAUACAUAAUUGAAAUAACAAAUUUAUCAUGAGU
Molecule: non-coding RNA, 438 nt
Organism: Hydra vulgaris (swiftwater hydra)
Lineage: Eukaryota; Metazoa; Cnidaria; Hydrozoa; Anthoathecata; Hydridae
Source: RefSeq, a predicted model, not a curated record